GACGAACGCUGGCGGCGUGCUUAACACAUGCAAGUCGAGCGGUAAGGCCCUUUCGGGGGUACACGAGCGGCGAACGGGUGAGUAACACGUGGGUGACCUGCCUCUAGCUCUGGGAUAAGCCUGGGAAACUGGGUCUAAUACCGGAUAUGACUCCACGGCGCAUGUUGUGGGGUGGAAAGCCUUGUGUGGCUAGAGAUGGGCCCGCGGCCUAUCAGCUUGUUGGUGGGGUGAUGGCCUACCAAGGCGACGACGGGUAGCCGGCCUGAGAGGGCGACCGGCCACACUGGGACUGAGACACGGCCCAGACUCCUACGGGAGGCAGCAGUGGGGAAUCUUGCGCAAUGGGCGAAAGCCUGACGCAGCGACGCCGCGUGAGGGAUGACGGCCUGGUGUAA
Molecule: ribosomal RNA, 395 nt
Filed under: uncultured bacterium
Lineage: Bacteria
Description: bacterial SSU rRNA
Rfam family: Bacterial small subunit ribosomal RNA
Source: RNAcentral